GACGGGGCCCGCACAAGCGGUGGAGCAUGUGGUUUAAUUCGACGCAACGCGAAGAACCUUACCUGGGCUUGAACGGCCGGUGGUACGGACCCGAAAGGGCGAGGACCCAGGUUUCCUGGGAGCCGGCAGAGGUGCUGCAUGGCUGUCGUCAGCUCGUGUCGUGAGAUGUUGGGUUAAGUCCCGCAACGAGCGCGACCCCUGCAUUCAGUUGCCAACGGUAAGGCCGGGCACUCUGGAUGGACUGCCGGCGACAAGCCGGAGGAAGGUGGGAUGACGUCAAAUCAUCAUGCCCCUUAUGUUCUGGGCUACACACGUGCUACAAUGGCCGGUACAGACGGACGCAAAGCCGCGAGGUGGAGCAAAUCCGAAAAAGCCGGUCUCAGUUCGGAUUGCAGGCUGCAAUUCGCCUGCAUGAAGUCGGAAUCGCUAGUAAUCGCAGGUCAGCAUACUGCGGUGAAUACGUUCCCGGGCCUU
Molecule: ribosomal RNA, 474 nt
Filed under: uncultured Aminicenantes bacterium
Lineage: Bacteria; Candidatus Aminicenantota
Description: bacterial SSU rRNA
Rfam family: Bacterial small subunit ribosomal RNA
Source: RNAcentral